Molecule: transfer RNA, 71 nt
Filed under: Loxodonta africana (African savanna elephant)
Lineage: Eukaryota; Metazoa; Chordata; Mammalia; Proboscidea; Elephantidae
Rfam family: tRNA
About the family: Transfer RNA (tRNA) molecules are approximately 80 nucleotides in length. Their secondary structure includes four short double-helical elements and three loops (D, anti-codon, and T loops). Further hydrogen bonds mediate the characteristic L-shaped molecular structure. tRNAs have two regions of fundamental functional importance: the anti-codon, which is responsible for specific mRNA codon recognition, and the 3' end, to which the tRNAs corresponding amino acid is attached (by aminoacyl-tRNA synthetases). tRNAs cope with the degeneracy of the genetic code in two manners: having more than one tRNA (with a specific anti-codon) for a particular amino acid; and 'wobble' base-pairing, i.e. permitting non-standard base-pairing at the 3rd anti-codon position.
Source: Rfam by way of RNAcentral
GCCCUGUAGUGCAAUGGUUACAUGCUCUGCUGCUAACGGAAGGGUCGGUGGUUUGAACCCACCUAAGGGCU